AACGAACGCUGGCGGCGCGUCUUAAGCAUGCAAGUCGAACGGUAAGGGAGAGCUUGCUCUCCCCUAGAGUGGCGGACUGGUGAGUAACGCGUGGGUGACCUGCCCUGAAGAUGGGGAUAGCUAGUAGAAAUAUUAGAUAAUACCGAAUGUGCUCAUUUACAUAAAGGUAAAUGAGGAAAGGAGCUACGGCUCCGCUUUAGGAUGGGCCCGCGUCCCAUUAGCUGGUUGGUGAGGUAAAGGCUCACCAAGGCAACGAUGGGUAUCCGGCCUGAGAGGGAGAACGGACACAUUGGGACUGAGAUACGGCCCAAACUCCUACGGGAGGCAGCAGCUAAGAAUCUUCCGCAAUGGACGAAAGUCUGACGGAGCGACGCCGUGUGAAUGAACAAGGCCGAAAGGUUGUAAAAUUCUUUUGCAGAUGAAGAAUAAACAUAGGAGGGAAUGCCUGUGAGAUGACGGUAAUCAUGCGAAUAAGCCCCGGCUAAUUACGUGCCAGCAGCCGCGGUAACACGUAAGGGGCGAGCGUUGUUCGGAAUUAUUGGGCGUAAAGGGUAUGUAGGCGGUUAGGUAAGCCUGGUGUGAAAUCUACGAGCUCAACUCGUAAACUGCAUUGGGUACUGCUUGACUUGAAUCACGGAGGGGAAACCGGAAUUCCAAGUGUAGGGGUGGAAUCUGUAGAUAUUUGGAAGAACACCGGUGGCGAAGGCGGGUUUCUGGCCGAUGAUUGACGCUGAUAUACGAAGGUGCGGGGAGCAAACAGGAUUAGAUACCCUGGUAGUCCGCACAGUAAACGAUGUACACUAGGUGUCGGGGCAAGAGCUUCGGUGCCGACGCAAACGCAUUAAGUGUACCGCCUGGGAAGUAUGCCCGCAAGGGUGAAACUCAAAGGAAUUGACGGGGGCCCACACAAGCGGUGGAGCAUGUGGUUUAAUUCGAUGAUACGCGAGACACGUUACCUGGGUUUGACAUCAAGAGCAAUGACAUAGAGAUAUGGCAGCGUAGCUAUACGG
RNAcentral lists this ribosomal RNA (1010 nucleotides) under Treponema denticola. RNAcentral describes it as "bacterial SSU rRNA". It matches the Rfam family "Bacterial small subunit ribosomal RNA", at positions 28 to 1027 of the family's 1533-position model. The record is from RNAcentral. Lineage: Bacteria; Pseudomonadati; Spirochaetota; Spirochaetia; Treponematales; Treponemataceae.